CCUACGGGUGGCAGCAGUGGGGAAUAUUGCACAAUGGGGGGAACCCUGAUGCAGCGACGCCGCGUGAGUGAAGAAGUAUUUCGGUAUGUAAAGCUCUGUCAGCAGGGAAGAAGAAAGACGGUACCUGACCAAGAAGCCCCGGCUAACUACGUGCCAGCAGCCGCGGUAAUACGUAGGGGGCAAGCGUUAUCCGGAUUUAUUGGGGUUAAGGGGUGCGUAGGCGGAAUGCCAAGUCAGCGGUAAAAUCGCGGGGCUCAACCUCGCUCCGCCGUUGAAACUGGCGUUCUUGAGUGGGCGAGAAGUAUGCGGAAUGCGUGGUGUAGCGGUGAAAUGCAUAGAUAUCACGCAGAACUCCGAUUGCGAAGGCAGCAUACCGGCGCCCAACUGACGCUGAAGCACGAAAGCGUGGGUAUCGAACAGGAUUAGAUACCCCAGUAGUC
This 440-nucleotide ribosomal RNA is filed under the name uncultured bacterium. RNAcentral's name for it is "partial 16S ribosomal RNA". It matches the Rfam family "Bacterial small subunit ribosomal RNA", at positions 338 to 795 of the family's 1533-position model. The record is from RNAcentral.